RNAcentral lists this ribosomal RNA (497 nucleotides) under uncultured bacterium. RNAcentral describes it as "partial 16S ribosomal RNA". It matches the Rfam family "Bacterial small subunit ribosomal RNA", at positions 28 to 507 of the family's 1533-position model. The record is from RNAcentral.
GAUGAACGCUGGCGGCGUGCCUAAUACAUGCAAGUCGAGCGAACAGACGAGGAGCUUGCUCCUCUGACGUUAGCGGCGGACGGGUGAGUAACACGUGGAUAACCUACCUAUAAGACUGGGAUAACUUCGGGAAACCGGAGCUAAUACCGGAUAAUAUAUUGAACCGCAUGGUUCAAUAGUGAAAGACGGUUUUGCUGUCACUUAUAGAUGGAUCCGCGCCGCAUUAGCUAGUUGGUAAGGUAACGGCUUACCAAGGCAACGAUGCGUAGCCGACCUGAGAGGGUGGUCGGCCCCACCGGAAAUGGAGCCCGGUCCAGACUCCUAAGGGAGGGAGGAGUAGGGAAUCCUUCGCAAUGGGGGAAAGCCUGACGGAGCAACGCCGCGUGAGUGAUGAAGGUCUUCGGAUCGUAAAACUCUGUUAUUAGGGAAGAACAAAUGUGUAAGUAACUAUGCACGUCUUGACGGUACCUAAUCAGAAAGCCACGGCUAACUACGUG